Molecule: ribosomal RNA, 645 nt
Filed under: uncultured Bacteroidales bacterium
Lineage: Bacteria; Pseudomonadati; Bacteroidota; Bacteroidia; Bacteroidales
Description: bacterial SSU rRNA
Rfam family: Bacterial small subunit ribosomal RNA
Source: RNAcentral
CUUGCUUUGAUGGAUGGCGACCGGCGCACGGGUGAGUAACACGUAUCCAACCUGCCGACAACACUGGGAUAGCCUUUCGAAAGAAAGAUUAAUACCGGAUGGUAUAGUUUUCCCGCAUGGGAUGAUUAUUAAAGAAUUUCGGUUGUCGAUGGGGAUGCGUUCCAUUAGGCAGUUGGCGGGGUAACGGCCCACCAAACCUACGAUGGAUAGGGGUUCUGAGAGGAAGGUCCCCCACAUUGGAACUGAGACACGGUCCAAACUCCUACGGGAGGCAGCAGUGAGGAAUAUUGGUCAAUGGACGAGAGUCUGAACCAGCCAAGUAGCGUGAAGGAUGACUGCCCUAUGGGUUGUAAACUUCUUUUAUACGGGAAUAAAGUUAGCCACGUGUGGUUUUUUGUAUGUACCGUAUGAAUAAGGAUCGGCUAACUCCGUGCCAGCAGCCGCGGUAAUACGGAGGAUCCGAGCGUUAUCCGGAUUUAUUGGGUUUAAAGGGAGCGUAGGCGGGUUGUUAAGUCAGUUGUGAAAGUUUGCGGCUCAACCGUAAAAUUGCAGUUGAUACUGGCGACCUUGAGUGCAACAGAGGUAGGCGGAAUUCGUGGUGUAGCGGUGAAAUGCUUAGAUAUCACGAAGAACUCCGAUUGCGAA